AAGUACUAUGUUGAAGUUAUUUAUGAUUUUUUCAGGUGAGCAACAGAUACAUUUCCCAGCUGAAGGAUUCCCACCGAAGUCAUCCAUUCAUUAAAGACUAUCUACACAAGCAAAGUGAAUUUGAAAGAAUCUCAAGGAAUUACUCAGCAACGGUUGCAUCAUAGCCACUUACAAGGAUUUUAUGUUGUUGAUUGGACACAGGUUUUCUCGGGAACAACUUGACAAAAAUCAAGGAUCAGAUAUCAAGAUUCCAGACUGCAGCCAUAUUGAACAGCUUCAAGUGAACCACUACAUAGCUUAUCCUUUGAGGAACAUCAUCUGUUGGGAAAAGCUUGGACAUUUCCAUAGCAAAAUGUCCGUUAUGUACCAGAUAUACCUUUGCUGUAAUUGGAUGACCUGAACAUUAAAUCUCAAGCAUGCUGGUCGACCUUGAUUCUUAAUUGACAAACAAUUCUGAAAGGCAAAUAACUUGUGAAAAAUGAGCAAUCACUUGCCUUUAAAUAUUUGAAAUAAAAAAAAAGUAAGUUGGUGAAUUGAAUAUCUUCUGUGAUGGUUUAAUGCAAAAGUUUGUAAAAUUAUAGAUUUGGAACAGUCGUGUUGUUUGACAACAAAUGAUAAGUUAUAUUUAUAUUUCAUCAGUUUGGGAUAUUGUCAUUUUGUGUACAUAUUUCAGUUAUAUGUUGUGGUCAUUAAAUAUGUGAUAACCAUUGUGA
Mizuhopecten yessoensis (Yesso scallop) is the source of this 713-nucleotide long non-coding RNA. RefSeq lists it as uncharacterized. The record is from RefSeq and is a predicted model, not a curated record. NCBI's taxonomy places the organism in Eukaryota, Metazoa, Mollusca, Bivalvia, Pectinida, Pectinidae. The transcript is spliced from 3 exons.